Molecule: long non-coding RNA, 233 nt
Filed under: Carica papaya (papaya)
Lineage: Eukaryota; Viridiplantae; Streptophyta; Magnoliopsida; Brassicales; Caricaceae
Description: long non-coding RNA (CPAP_LNC009128)
Source: RNAcentral
UUAAUUUUGGGAAAAAUAGGUGAAAAUUUGAAUUCUGUAGGUAUUUUUGAAAAAAAAAUUAGAAACCGGAGGUCAAAACGCAAUUUAGAAAAGUUGUGCCACGUCAGCAACCACGUCAGCAGCUCUGGCCAACCAGGACACGCCGCGUGGCAAGGAAACGCUGACACGGGACGGGCCACAUGGGCAAUCCGCGUGCGCGCGAUCGGACGGCCCAGAUCCGUUCCCGCGUGCAC